CGUCAGAUUUGCGCCAACGCUGAGCGGCGGCAGUGAGAUCAAAAGCCUCCCAGCUGUUAUCUGUCCCGUAAACUUGACGUGAAGCCAGUUCCAGCAGGUCUGUGCGCUCCUCUGCCCCAACGAAGGCGUCUCCUCUCGCUGUCCUCACAUCAGUCACGUUGUCAGGUUGGGCGUGCAGUUCCACUUCGUAGAUAGUGACCUUGCGGUCGACACCGGCAUAGAGGUGGCGGUCGAUCUGGACAAGGGUGUAGAGGCGGAGCUCAGUCGCAGUGAUGUGUUCGUGAUGGGGGAUUGACACGUUGAAGAGGAGUGGGUGGCGCCUCACUCCUCCAACAUCCACAACACUGGGAGUUGAAUCUGAGCAAGGAGAAAAAUGGAUAAGAGCGCCAUUUUGGAGGAUUAGGAUCAUUAAAAAAGGAAAAGACUGUAGAAGCUCAACCUCACAAAGGCUCGGUGCAACUGUAUACAUAAACAAUUAGGUUUCACCGCUUAAUUGUCUCGGGCUUGGAAAGUGAAAGCAGGUUCAUCAUCAUGCGGAGCAGAGCUGUACCUUCGUUUUUGAAGCUGCGGAUGAUGUUGGCGGUGGGCAUGGCGGUCCGGUCACUAGCAAAGCGGUUGUAAAGCUCCAUCAUGUAUUCAGGCGGCUCCUCUCUUGCACCUCCAGGAGGCAAGGCAGGCGGACCCAAGCCAGAGAGGUUGAACGUUCGCAGAAACUGUUCCUUCAGGCCCUCCAGGACGCUUUGCAUAUCCGAGUUGGCAUCUUGCUCCAGCAGCGAUGGGUCCACCACCCCUCCAUGGCCGUCCCCCAGCCCCGGAGGGGGACGAUGCCUCUGGCGAGGACUGGAGAUUGGGCUGCUCUCUCCAAACAGAGGCCUCUGGAUCAGCAGGGCGGAUAACAACAAGAACAAAAUCUUGGAGCUGCAAAUGGUUCCUAGUUGAGAGACCCAGAUUCUCGCCAUGGGAGAAGUGAUCGGCAGUAACUUAGUUUACACCCUCUAUGGUCAUCUAUGGAUGAGCUCAUGCAACAAGGAGAAAAAAUUAUCCUAAUUUCUCAAUAUAAAUCCAAAGAGCUAUGCGAUUAUGGUCAGUUCAUGUGCAGCCUAAGAAAGUUGAGGCUUCCUGGCAGCGGCUGAAGUGUUGUUGACCCCUGCACUGACCAAUGUGAGCCCCUCUGCAGGCACGCGUUCUCCUGUGGCUCUCCUCCAGAUUUAACAGCAUUUAUUCUCAUGCACACCUUUUGAAGUCCUUUUCAACAGGGUGGUGGUUCCGGUGACAGGGUGGCCGAGGCUCGCCUUUGUCUGUCCGACUCAUCUCUGUUGUGUCCUCUCCUCUGUCAGUCUCUCUCUGAGCUCUGCUCUGUUUUCCCAGCUCUGUCCUCCUGUCCCUUAUCUAUGAUAUGGUGGGCUCUGCAUUGCUCAGUGCUUAUGGUCUCUUUGGGGUGUGUGUGUGUGCGUGCCUUCCCUUUAACUCUGUGUGAUGCACAUGAGCGUGUGCGUUAUCUCACAACUUCCUUAAUGAGGAUUUUGUAAACACUGUCCUGUAGCCUCUUCCUUGUGGAAGGGCUAUUUUGUUUGGGCGGGCGUUCCAGGCUUGAUACUGUUCAUUUGUUUAUUUCCUUAGUAAAUGGUGAAGUUAUGUCAACAGCUUUCUAAGCACCAUUGAGCAUUUCUUUUUGACAAAAUGCUGUUUGUGGGGUUUGUUGAUAUCAUUGUCUGUAGUAGUAUUCGUCUAUCAGACGACCCUGGUCCGAAUGAAAUUGGAAGGCAAUGGGGUGUGCCGCCUUAAUAGUGGGCCAUGAUAGCUACUGGGUUCACUUAGAACAUUUGAAUGUACAAAUGAAAAGUAUAAAAUAGUGCGAAAUAAUCAUUUGCAUUCAUUCAGCAAGGUAACAAUCAAGUUGCACCCCCAUCUGCCGCUGUGUUUGAAAUGGGUUAUUCUAACAUAAGAGGUUUCUUUGAAGAAAGGAAGAGAGUAAGGAUGUAAAAUACAAGACAAGAUGAGGCACCUUGGAGGCAUUGCAUCAAGGGGCAAACAUUUUCUGGAGACAUUCCUCUCGAUUAGGGAGACAGCAACAAGUCAAAGGUGACGACUACAGAAAGCCGGGGACACAAGAAGUAUUCAACAAUCCAGUAACAAAUGACAUCCGAAAAAUGUGCAGCCAUAUGGAAAAAGAUUGUUUACUCUUCUGAUCGUUGCCAGGUCUUAAAAUCAGGUAAAUAGAAGUUCUGGUGAACAAUAACACAUGACAAAUUACACUGCACCUUUCUUUCUUAUUAAGUGUAUUGAACAAAAACUAAGUCAAAGUACAGAUGCAGGAAAAACUGAGUUCAAAAGCUUGUAGAAACACCUUCAGCAGAAGUAAACUUAUCCUGUAUGACCUUAUCAGUCACUUACAUCGCUGUGGAGGAAUUCUGGCCCACAUCUCUUUAAAAACGUACUCAAGUUCAUUGCGGUUUGCAGACAUUCUUUCAUUCAUGGCUCUCCUCACGUACCACUACAGGAGUUCCCUCAGAUCGAGGUCUGGACUUUGACUGGGUCAUUACAACACUUUGAUCCUCUUCUUGCAGCCAUCCUGGCGUGUUUCUGAUCAUUGUCCUGCCAUACAGCCCGAUAUCAACCAAGCUUUAUCUAGAGUUCAUGGUUGACUCAAUGAUUGCAAAGAGGCUGCAGAGACGAAAUCGUCACACCUCUAUCCCCGUGCUUGACGCUUUCCAUGAAGUGUUUGUGUUAAUAAACCAUUUAUUUGCCAAACAUGUUGGGGCGUUAUGGGCAAAUAUCUCUAUUUUGGUGUACUCUGUCAAUAGGACAAACCUUCAGAGGUUUGGAGGAUUGUUCAGCUGCAACUCUGCAAACCUGAGCUCUGCUCGGCUUCGUACUGGCAGCCUUUCCAAACAACUUUUCUUUGACUUUGCCGUCAGAAACCUUGAUGUUUAACAUGCUGAUACAAGCCUAUAGUUAUUUUGAAAUAUUAAACAUAAUGAGUAUCACACACCCUGACCUUGAGGGUGAACUUGCUAUGACGCCCGCUCUGUGACGAUGGGAAACCCUCUUGAGUGUCUUCCACUUGUGAAUAAUCUUUCUCACUGUAAGCUGAUGUCAGAGGUGGUCUUGUCACAUUUCUCAGACUGACAGGCAGCAACAAGUGUUUCUCUAAAGUCAAUGCUGAUGUCUUUCUUCCUUGGAAUUGUGUUAACGUACACCUGAAAACCCCCCAGGAAACUGCCAAGGUCGUCUUAUCUUUUUUUUUUUGUGGUAAUCAUCCUGCUGAUGACUGUUUAUUGGGGAUCAGCGCCGCUUGACCCCCCCCUCAAGAUGAGGUGAGAAGUAAUAUCCUCCUCUAUUAAGUCUCAGUUGUGUGGAAUAACUAUUACACAUGGAGGUGUUUGGUGAGCCUGCGAGUGCGGACUGACUCAUGGCUCAUCAGACAAGAUACCCUGAGGUCGUUUUUACACCUGGUUUGUUUGAAUCUGAACUUGUUUGAGUCUGAACCCUAGUGUUCUGCCUCUCUGUUUUGUGUUGUAAUGUGUAGGAUCUUUGCAUAGCGUCUUUCAUUGAUGCAGUGCAGGUGUGAACUAUUGAUGCCGUUGGAAAUAUGGGCAACAAAGUACAUUGAUUUUGUUGGACAAAAAGCUUUCAUGUAACAUCAAUUUACAUAAAUCUUCUGAGACUUGGGCCAGAUGUAUAUCGAUGUCAAGAAAAACGUGUGUAUUGCUCAUAAACUGAUAUUUAUAAAUAAAAAAAUGUCCUUGUCAAAACACAGGUGUCCAUCAAACUGAAAGUCUGUGUAGCUCAGGUCAGUGUCUCCCAACCUGGGGUCCCCCUGGGGGGGCGCC
Cololabis saira (Pacific saury) is the source of this 3833-nucleotide long non-coding RNA. RefSeq lists it as uncharacterized. The transcript is spliced from 3 exons. NCBI's taxonomy places the organism in Eukaryota, Metazoa, Chordata, Actinopteri, Beloniformes, Belonidae. The record is from RefSeq and is a predicted model, not a curated record.